AGACGCUCCCCUGUUUCUCCCCCUUUCUCUCCCUCCCUUCACUAAACCCUUUUCUUCCCCAAAAAUAAUUUCCAAAAAAAAAGGAAAAUUCCCUAAAAAUUCUCUGCAAAUAUGAAGAUGAUGAUGGAGGAGGAGAGAGAAAUUGAGUCGGUGAAGAAGGAAGUUGCUGCCAUGAACGGAAAGAAGAAGGAGGAGUUUGAGGAAGUUCUAGAGGAGGAAGUUGACGGCGAGGAAGAAGACGGUGACGACACUGAAGAUGACGACGAUGAUGAUGAUGAAGGUGGUGAUGACGAUGAGGAUGAUGAUGACGACGCUGAUGAGAAUGCAGUGCCGGAAGGCCUACCGUCUUCUGAUGGUCCCGCUGUAACGUCAGUUGAUGAUGAGGAUGAUGACGCUGACGAUGAUGACGACGAAGACGACGAUGAUGAUGACGACGACGACGAUGACGGCGACGAUGAGGAGCCUGAUACCGGGUAUCUUGUCCGCCCUGUUGCUCCUGCUGAAGAUGAGGUGGAUGCCUCUGAUUUUGAGCCUGAAGAGAAUGGCGAUGAUGAAGAUACUGAUGAAGAUGAUGAUGACGACGAUGAUGAUGACGAUGAUGGUGGGAAAGCCGAGGCCCCUUCAAAGCGGAAAAGAGCAGGUGAUGAUGAUGAUGAUUCUGGAGAUGACGAUGGAGAUGAUGAUGAUGAUGAAAGACCAUCCAAGCGGUAGGGGUGGGGUUUGGCCUCUGUUAUACUCUGGAAGAAUGCCGAUGGAGGCUUGACCCAUCGGCAUACGAUCCGCGUAAAAGUGUUGCAAAAGUGAUCCUCUCAUAAUGUUUUGGGCGAAAGUUAAUUCCGGGCCUCCUGGUUGGUGGACUGGCUGAGUUUGCUAACAAUGUGACUUUCAAGCAUUUUGCAGUUGAUGGGGCUCGACCAUGUGACUUGCAAAAGUGAUCCACCAACAUAUCUUGUUUUUAUGAUAAAAGUGAUGGUCCAUUGGAGAAUGAGCCAACUGAGUGCUAAUGGGCCCUGGAGGCGCACGCUCGUAAUCCUUCCACUGACAAGAGCGGGAGAAAUUUUUCGUUGCUCUAUGAAACCAGCCUCACGCGGUCUCCUUCACUCUAAGGCCCAUGAAGAUCAGGCCUUCGCCCAACCCACAUGGACCAACUCUCAACUUGGAGAGGGCUAGCUUGCAUGUUGCCAACCACAGGCCGGACCCAUAGAGCUGAAAUCUUGUUCCAUCACCUUAAUGCUCCCACUUGGGUCACAAGCUCACGUUACUAAGCUCAGCAUUUUUGAUGCAAACUAGGAAGUAAAUUUAAAGAUAAAACAGUUUACAAGAUUAUUUAGGGAGGUCUAUCCUCCAAAAUUAAAUUCCUUAUGAACAACACACCUGUUACUCCGUAUAAUUUUAGUCAGUCUAUCAAGUACUCCGCACUAGGGAGUAGAGAGUACAUGUCAAAUUGGACGUAGUAAUGUAGUAUACUUAUUUUGGGAGUUAUUUUCAGAAAUUCAGUCAAAUUGCAUAAUUA
Molecule: RNA transcript, 1513 nt
Organism: Spinacia oleracea (spinach)
Lineage: Eukaryota; Viridiplantae; Streptophyta; Magnoliopsida; Caryophyllales; Amaranthaceae
Exons: 3
Source: RefSeq, a predicted model, not a curated record